Molecule: RNA transcript, 2683 nt
Organism: Oncorhynchus keta (chum salmon)
Lineage: Eukaryota; Metazoa; Chordata; Actinopteri; Salmoniformes; Salmonidae
Gene name: sulfotransferase 4A1
Exons: 8
Source: RefSeq, a predicted model, not a curated record
GGCAGCGUUUUGCGGGCGUCGGCUCACUUGACAGCAGUCUACUCGGAUUAAACAUGGACCAUUCCAUAGGCGAAUAAAGAAUGCAAUUCACCUAUAAUUGGAAAACCUAAUCUGUUGAUUUUUAAUUCCAAGAACAACAGCAGGCCUAUUAGCAUCAUCUUCAAUGCUUCAUGUAGCCUAUGCUUGAAAGCAUUCCUCUUCCGGCUACAGAGACUAGUGAGCACGCGCGUGCUCCGCAAGAGUGAACUGGUGCUGAUGCUGAAGAGGAGGCGCGCGCCUCACAUGAACGCAUCGCAUUACAUCACUUUGCUACGACGUGAUUGGCUGAAGGUCAAUGCGUACUUCGCUCGCGAACUAUCACAACCAUAUAUCUCGACUCGCACUCGAGAUAUUAUAGCUCUCAAAAUUGAUUGCAAAUAUAUUUUCGUUUAGUGCCCGUUUUGAGGAUGGCCGAGAGCGAGGCAGACACGCCAAGCACCCCGAUUGAGUUUGAGAGCAAAUACUACGAGUUUGAUGGAGUGCGACUUCCACCCUUCUGCAGAGGAAAGAUGGAGGAGAUCGCCAACUUCUCCCUCCGAAGUAGCGACAUAUGGAUUGUCACGUAUCCCAAGUCAGGUACCAGUCUCCUUCAGGAAGUUGUGUAUCUGGUGAGUCAGGGAGCGGAACCAGAUGAGAUUGGUCUGAUGAACAUCGAUGAGCAGCUUCCUGUUCUGGAGUACCCUCAGCCUGGCCUAGACAUUAUACAGGAAUUGACGUCUCCUCGUCUGAUCAAAAGCCACCUGCCCUACCGCUUCCUGCCUACAGCCAUGCACAAUGGAGAGUCCAAGGUGAUCUACAUGGCGAGGAACCCUAAAGAUCUUGUGGUGUCUUACUACCAGUUCCACCGCUCCCUCAGAACCAUGAGCUACCGCGGAACCUUUCAGGAGUUCUGCAGACGCUUCAUGAACGACAAGCUGGGAUAUGGUUCCUGGUUUGAGCACGUGCAGGAGUUCUGGGAGCAUCGCAUGGACUCAAACGUCCUCUUCCUGAAAUAUGAAGACAUGUACAAGGACCUGGGGACAUUGGUGGGGAAGCUGGCGAGGUUCCUGGGUGUCUCGUGUGACAAGGCCCAGCUGGAGACAAUGGUAGAGAGCUGCAACCAGCUCAUAGAGCAGUGCUGCAACUCAGAGGCCCUCUCCAUCUGCAGGGUGCAUAUGGACCCUAACCUCUGACCUGGUGCUGGUCUAACAUACAGCUCUGAGCUAAUAGGGCCAUAAACACACAUUCCUAUACACACUACUGGAGGACAGGUCGCGUGGGACUGUGGCAGGACAUCUUCACCGUGUCUAUGAACGACAAGUUUGACGCGGUGUAUAGACAGAAGAUGGGCAAGUCUGACCUGACCUUUGACUUCGGCCUGUGAGGACCGGACCGACUGACCACAACGACACGAACACGGACUUCCACUCCUCCUCCUGCUGCCUAAACACCGUACACUCCUCUGCCUCUCUUCAUCACUCAAUAAAUCAAUCAAUCAAUGAAUCAAUCAAACAAUCACGUUUUAGAUAUAUUGUAUAAUGCUGUAUGAAUGCUAUGGUGGGGAAUCAUAAGUCAAGUAUAGAGUAUAGAGACCCCCAUGACUGCCCUUUGAUACAGAGCAAGUGUUCCGUUUUAGCUGUAUCCAGGUCAGUUCCUAUUUGACCUAGUCCUUCAUUUUAGCACACGUUUUUCACUUUCAGUACAUUACAUUACAUUGCUUGUUUGUUACAAAAAGGCUUUCAAUGGGCAUUAGCUUAAUCAGCACUAGACUUUUUGUAUCAACCUUUCUUGCCGAGGUGAAUGGGGAAUGUGUGUGUGUGUGUGUCUGUCUGUGUGUGUGCGUGUGUGUGUGUGUGUGCGCGUGUGUGUGUGUGUACAUGCUCAUGUGUGAGCAAAAUCACAAAAAUGACACAUCACAACUGCCUUUCAUAUCAGUUCUGUUUGUUUAUGCUGCUAAAGUGAUGCCUUUCUCUGUCCUCAGACCCAUAGCCACCUAUAGAGUUACUGUACCACACUGAAACAACAGAGUAUCCCUCCAUGUUACCAGCAUUCUCUGUGUGCUCUCCCCCAAGUACAUGUAGCCCCUUUUCUCUUCCAUUGCUUGCGUCUCUUUCUCUCCUCCUCCUCCGCCUCCUCCCUGCUGUAAAUGCCCCCAGAGAGACCAGUAGACCCCCAAACCCCCAUCCCCUCUGCUCUGCUGGACACUUGUGAAUGUCUUCAUUGAUGUGGAUGUAACAACCUCAACCCCUCCCACAGGCUCAGUUCUGUGCUUAGGACAUCCCUGUUUUAUUCUCUCUCUCUCUCUCUCUGUUUCUCUCACUCUGUAUCUCUCUCUCUCUCUCUGUAUCUCUCUCUCUCUCUCUGUUUCUCUCACUCUGUCUGUAUCUCUCUAUCGAUUCAAUUGGCUUUAGAUACAUGUGUUUACAUUGCCAAAGCAAGUGGAAUAGACAAUAAACCAAAAGGGAAAUAAACUCUCUUGUCAGCUUUUUCGCUCAUUCUCUCUGUUUACGACCGUUGGCAAUCCUGCUGCAGCCCAUCUCUUCAAGGGUAAUGUGGUGUACUGUUUGUUUGGUUUUUAUAUGCCUGUAGGGUUGUCCUAACCUGGGCAUAAUGCAUCGUACUUUACAUGCUUGCUUGAUGGUUUAUUAAUAAAGUUAUGUCUAGA